UACGUAGGGUGCGAGCGUUAAUCGGAAUUACUGGGCGUAAAGUGUGCGCAGGCGGCGCCGCAAGUCGAGUGUGAAAGCCCCGGGCUUAACUUGGGAAUUGCGCUCGAAACUAUGGUGCUGGAGUGUGGCAGAGGAAGGUGGAAUUCCACGUGUAGCGGUGAAAUGCGUAGAGAUGUGGAGGAACACCGAUGGCGAAGGCAGCCUUCUGGGCCAACACUGACGCUCAUGCACGAAAGCGUGGGGAGCAAACAGG
This 253-nucleotide ribosomal RNA is filed under the name uncultured bacterium. RNAcentral's name for it is "partial 16S ribosomal RNA". It matches the Rfam family "Bacterial small subunit ribosomal RNA", at positions 524 to 776 of the family's 1533-position model. The record is from RNAcentral.